RNAcentral lists this non-coding RNA (29 nucleotides) under Rattus norvegicus (Norway rat). The record is from RNAcentral. Lineage: Eukaryota; Metazoa; Chordata; Mammalia; Rodentia; Muridae.
UGCCAUGCUGGUAAUUGUGCUUCAUAGGC